UGCUCUCAUCCCUCUGUGUGUUCUGGUCUGUCCUAGGAAUCUACAUGAUCUUUGUGAGUUUGACCCUGCUGGGCUUCUACACAAAACGAGGUUCCUGUCUCCUGAGGUGCCCUAAAGCUGAGGUCUGCCUUUCAUCUGGUAGCGAGAAACUGCUUCUCGAGGACAGCAAAGCAGCCUUUGUUCUGGUCCUUGUCAGACACAAUCUGUGUCUGGAGAAGUCUUAUUUCCAUGCAGUUUUAGGUGUCUGCAAGACCCUUUGGAACAUCCCCAGCAUGGUGGUGCAGGUUUUGGAAGGAUUCCAAGGGGCUUUUGUGGAACAUGUGAAGAUGUGAAUUUCAGUUAUCCUGAGAAAAGCUGCUGAGUGAAUAGUCCCACAGAACAUGACUGCAUUCAGACACUAAUGAUCUAUUUUGUGCACCAACAAAAUGUUGUACUCUUGAAUUUUUCCAAAUGUUGAUGAAAACAUAUUUGGUAGUAAACUGACAAUUAUUUUCAAAAUUUUAAUCUGCUACACCCUUAUUCUGUGUUUAAUACUUGAGGAAAAGAAUGGCUUGCAAAUGGAUGCACUAAUAAUAGCUGAUUAAAAUGCAUUAAUUUAACAUCACCAAAUAAUCAUCAUUAAUUUAAUUCCACUACAUCAUAAAAUGUCUAAUUCCUCUGCAACCAGUCCACAUUCAAAUUGAUAAAAGAGACAAGAAUAGUUUAGAAAGUCUCAUUAAGUCUCAAAGAUACAGUUUAUUUUUUGUGUGUGAAGUUAAUGUCUUUAAUCAAUUAAAAUGCAAUGAACACUAUGGUAAGAAUACUGAGAUUACACAGGCAGACACAGAUGAUAAAAUGCCAUGUGAAGCAUCCCCUCCUGUCAGUGCUCUUCCCAGUUUGAAUUCCCCAGGGGCUGCAUUUUAAUCUGCUGUGCCUAAGCCCAGCCACUAAAUCCUCAGCAGAACUAGAGAUAUACCUGUAGCUUUAAUUUACAGCUGCUGUAUUUUAUGGCCUGUACAAAUUAGAUAGUGUUCUUUAUUAACUCCAUUGUCACAAACACUUUUUUAUGUAAUCAGAUUAUAUUUUUUUUUAAUAGUUCAUGCUAAUUUUCUGUCACACCAAUUUUUGAAAGUCCUCCCUGAGACUUUCAAGUAACACUUUCUCUCUAGCUUGGCAAUUGUGCCAAAAAAAAAAUAUAAAAAUCUCAGUUCUUCUAAUAAUGGUUAUUUAUCUACUAGUGCCUACCUUCCAUUCUGUUAGAACACCCAGUGUUUGCUCAUGAAAUAGGGAGUUAAUCGGUUUAAUGAGACAUUUUAAAUGGUUUCCAUAGAUCUAAUUUAUUA
This 1322-nucleotide long non-coding RNA is filed under the name Parus major (Great Tit). RNAcentral describes it as "lncRNA (ENSPMJG00000008080.1)". Lineage: Eukaryota; Metazoa; Chordata; Aves; Passeriformes; Paridae. The record is from RNAcentral.